GCCCGGGUGGCGGAAUUGGCAGACGCGUCGGUCUCAAAAACCGAUGGCCGAAAGGCCGUGCGGGUUCGAUCCCCGCCCCGGGCACCA
This 87-nucleotide transfer RNA is filed under the name Aeromicrobium sp. Its description in RNAcentral is "tRNA-Leu". It matches the Rfam family "tRNA". Rfam says of the family: Transfer RNA (tRNA) molecules are approximately 80 nucleotides in length. Their secondary structure includes four short double-helical elements and three loops (D, anti-codon, and T loops). The record is from RNAcentral. Lineage: Bacteria; Bacillati; Actinomycetota; Actinomycetes; Propionibacteriales; Nocardioidaceae.